UUCUAUGGCCAUACCACCCCGAAUGUGCCUGAUCUUGGAAGCUAAGCAGGGUAGGGCCUGGUUAGUACUCGGGUGGAAGAAAUGAUAGUUAAAUUGCCAUGGGAA
This is a ribosomal RNA of Nomascus leucogenys (northern white-cheeked gibbon), 105 nucleotides long. Lineage: Eukaryota; Metazoa; Chordata; Mammalia; Primates; Hylobatidae. The record is from Ensembl.